GUAGCUGAGGCUGCGGGGUGGGGGUGGGGGAGGGGAUGGUGGAGUGGGGGUGUUGGGCCGGACGCGCUGGAGGGUUGCCAAGGGCGCCUCCCAGACCUCUCCUCCAUCACCUGGAGCCAACUCCCUUUCGUGGAGGGAGGAGCAUCUCCGACCUGAGGCUGGACCAAGCCCGUUAGGGCCCCUGGGUGGCCCAUAGGGCUCCUUGGGAAACCCAAGGAAGGCUUAGUUCCUCCGCGUCCUGGGAUGUAGGUCUGAGUGUUCGUGCCCAGGCUUCAGCUUUACAUGGCAAUGCCAGAACUUUGGGGGCCACGCAGGAACAUACGUACUCUGCACAUGGAAAUGCCUGCACCUACAAUGCCUGCUUACACUUUCUGAUGCAACUACAGGAUUCCCACUGCAGCACAGAAUAAAUAAAUAAAAUCUUAAAAAAAUAAAAGUGAUGAGAAAAAUGUCCUCGGGUGAAGAUUAAAGACAUUUUUAAAUAAAUAAAUAAAUAAACAAGUUAAUUAAUUUAAAACAGAGAAAGUGACACCAGAGAUCUCUGUCCACUCAAGCACAGGGGAAAGGUCAUGUGAGGACACAGCAAGAAGUUGUCUGCAGGCCAGGAAGAGAGUUCUCACUGGAAUCCACCGGUGAUGACACCUUGAUCUUGGACUUGUAGCCUCCAGACCAGAAAAGAAAUUUGUCGUUUAAACCACCCCACCUGUGGUGUUCUGUGAUGGCAGCCUGAGCUGACUCAUACACUGCGUUCUUUCAUCUGAAAAGCAGGAAUAAAUCCAGUCCUUGAAUUGUGAAGCUAUUGCGAGAAUCCGUUGAGGAAAUACACGUGGGAUGCCUGCCCGUUCAGUUUUCCUACAGCACCUUCAGCACAGUGUCUGGUGUAUAGAGGAUGUUUAAUAAAUACCUACCGAAUAAACACAUCCAUCCGUCAGAAAAAGAAGCUUUCAAAUUAAAAAGGAGCACAUGUCUCUGAGCUUUUCACUAACCUCCAUUUCCUUGGUCACUGAUCAUGACUCACCAGCAAUGACAGCAGGCAUGAAGGAUUUAAGGAGAGUGUCCCAAGGACAAUUUCCUGUUUUUAAUUGGAUCUGCCCAUUAAUGUGGUGUCUUAUGAGAAUUGGGAAAGGGCUGGUCUGGCUGACCCCAGGACAAGCUCAGGGGGAGCAAGCCCCGGUGAGUACUCAGCUCCUCGCUUUCCAUCUACCCUUCUCUCUUGCCUCCACCUCACCACGCCUUUCCUGGACACAGCCACCAUUGGAGCGGUGGCUGCUGUGUCUGGGCCCUGCCGGCCCACCCAGUGGGACCGUGCCUCCACCACCCUGUGAGCACGAGGGCUCACCCACUACCAGCUGCCCUUGGCCAUCGACUCACCCAGCCAUGUACCCAGGGACACUAGCCCCGUCCUCAGACUCUUAACUCCUGCUGCCCUGUCCCAGGCUGCUGUCACACAGCUCCAGGGGGCUCCAUUCACAUG
Molecule: long non-coding RNA, 1474 nt
Organism: Artibeus jamaicensis (Jamaican fruit-eating bat)
Lineage: Eukaryota; Metazoa; Chordata; Mammalia; Chiroptera; Phyllostomidae
Exons: 4
Source: RefSeq, a predicted model, not a curated record